Long non-coding RNA from Panthera uncia (snow leopard), 7181 nucleotides. RefSeq lists it as uncharacterized. The transcript has 3 exons. NCBI's taxonomy places the organism in Eukaryota, Metazoa, Chordata, Mammalia, Carnivora, Felidae. The record is from RefSeq and is a predicted model, not a curated record.
GUUUCCUCAAUAGGGGCGAGUGAAGUAAAAGCUAGAUAAUAUCUUAUAAGAUCUUUUUUUUUUUUUUCUGUCUUGUACUUCUUGGAAAAGGGGCUUGGACUAUUGAAUUGGAAGGGAACAAUUAAAACAGACUUUAAAAUGAAGCCCUGACAUGCUGGCUGCUUGCCUGCUGUGUCGGGGCAGCUCUGUUCCAGGGAGACAGAAUGCCUUUUUGUUUGUUUGUUUGUUUCCAGACAAUUUCCUGCGUCAUCACAUUUUUUUUUGAGCCAAGUGUUUGAGGUUGGUGAUGUUGACAGAGCCCUGGAGAAUGGAAGGAGUUCAUCUCCACAGACAAAAGCUUUGUAUUUCAAGUUUAAAAAUUCCAGAAUAUUUUUCUAUUAUAUUGCUAUUCUUAGUUUUUUUAUGCCCCUUUGUGGGGGAAGACUGGUCUCCCCUGUAUCUAAUUUUCAGCCUUUAGGUGGGUCCCUCUUGUAAGUCAAGAAAGCACGUUAGAAAAACCAUUCCUCUUGGCAUUUAUGAAACUUGCAAUAGCGUAUCUUGCUCUGCUAAGUAGUACAUGCAGUAUGCCCAGAAGGCUUAGGGUUAUUAUUAGUAGUAGUAGUGGUAUAUGUUCUAUAUUUAUUCAUAUUUAAUUUCACUAUAAUAGGGUCAUUGCAUACCAGGUGACAUUUAUUCAGGAAGUAUUGGGGAAAAUAUAAAAUAUAGUUGAGCUAUAAUGAAUUAUGAUGAUUUACAUUUAUUAACAAAUUUCCUUUUAUUAGUAAGUCACCCAAGACUGCUUUUGACAGUUUGAAAACAGAAACGUUGAUACUUUUUUUUUUCCUGGUAAGAUUUUGAACUCUUUUAAGUAAAGUAUAAACUCUUGUUCAGAAUUAAGUCCUUAACCUGUCUCCAUAGCACCUCUGAUUGAAAGAAGUUGUUGCAGUUUAUAAAGGACUUAUUUGUGGUAGGUGGAGGUGGUGGUGUUGGGGAGGUGGGAAUUGGGGGAGGAGGGAGUAUGAAGUACCCAAAUAUUUAUCUAGCUUCUAUUAUGUGCCAGGGGCUAGGCUAGACAUCUGUAUGUUAUCCUUUUAUAAACUGCCAUUUCUGAAUCUAUGAAAAUGGCCCUCAUGAUUAGGUGGGAUUUAGAGAAGAACUAGAAAAUAUUAUUUUUUUAACCUAUACUUAUAAAAGAGUGCUAUUAAAAGCUCAUUUAACGUGAGUGCUUCUUUUUCUUCCUCUGCUUUAGAUUUAAACUCUUUUUCUAUAAGCUAAUCAAUACACAACAUUCUUAAGCAUGUUAUAUGAAAGGAGUGGCAUUAUGAAACGUGGGGACAUUACAUAGAGUAAUACAAUAAAAGGUAAAGGAUUAAGUAGUCUAAGAAUUUUAGAACUAAAAAUAAUUUUCAAAACCACUUGGACCAUUAAUUUCAUCUGGCAGUCGAGAAAACUGUUGCCCUGAAGCAUAUCAGCCUUGCCCAAGAGAGCCCAUUAAUGCAGACAGAAGAGAACCUAGGUUGUUUAACUGCCAGUUCACUCUUCUUUCUACUGUAUCCUAAUUCUGUUUCCUGCCUUACUUUAGAAGGAGCAAUCCACACGAGCUUUACAUCCUGAAUACGAACAAUAAUACUAGCAAUAACAAACUAUUAUGUUUAAAAAUAUAGUUUACACCUCUUGGUUGAUUGUUGGUUGGUUUCUGUUUGGUUUGUCAAAAGGCUUUAGGGAGCCAGGUAUUAGAUAGGUCAUGGCCUCACCUAUUAUUUUCAAAAUUGGAGAAAAGUAAUUCUAGAAGAAUCCCCUUAGAUAAGCUUUUAAACUAUGCAUUUAAAUGUGUAGGUAGUUGUACUCUCUGCUGUGAUGGUCCUAGAAGACAUUGCUCAGGUCACAGCUUAUUAUUUUUGAGGCCAUAGAAAGGGAAAGAGGCUUUGCCCUGAUGUAUCCCAUGAAAUGAAUAACAGGCAACAUUUAGGGAAACCUAGUUGAUGGAGACUAUUCUCACCACACUCUUUCCAUGGCCCUUUUUCUCCUUCCCCCACACCAUUUAAACUCUCCUUGACUAAAUGCAAUGAACAGGAACCAUUGUAUGAAUCGGAAGGAAAGUGUCUUAAAUAUAUGAAGUUAUAAUGACUUGGUAAGUGCUAUAAAAAUAUUCUGCAACUGAGUUAGAAAUUGCAUCAUCCAUGCCUGUGGCACUAUGGACUGGGCCCAAACGGUGUAAUUCUCCAGUGUAAUACUGAAGUAAUUUUUGCAUCUGCCAAGUAAAUAGUUUAAAUUUCAAACCUGUGAAAUGGCAAGCUAUAAUUGUUCAAUUCCAGUGAACCACAGGUGUAUUUAAUUUCCUUCCUUUACUUCUCGCUGUCUUUUUUAGGUAGGCCGAACCAACUAAAUAAAGAUUGUGCUCUUGUAUGAAUCUACAAGCCUUCUGGCAAUAAAAAAAGAAAAAAAAAAUCAAGCUAUGGAACAUUUAUACUGAAAGCAAGCCCUUUCUGUUAGCCACCUAAAAAUGAUGGUAACAAAGAAGACAAACCAGAAUUUGCAUGUGCUAUUCAUUGACUUGAUUGAAGAUCUUUUUCCUGAAUAAGAAAAAGUUCUACACCCAUAUAUUUCAGUAAGUAUACAACCUCUCUAUCUGGAUGGCCUAUGAUAAUUUCUACUCAAUACCUACAAAACUUAAGUUAAUAUAAUGUUCCUGAAUUUCCUCACUCUGUGAAUGGAAGCACCCUUCUCUCAAGCCACAAAACUCUCAUCCCUUCCCCUCAAAGUCUAUGGAUUUGGCUCUCAGUAUUUUAUGCCCUUUCUCUCCAUCGCCCUGUUACUACCUUAAUUGAACUCUUGCUGUCUGUCACUGGUUGGCUGCAAUUGUCUUCCUGCAACUAGAUUUAUCCGAUUGCUGUCUAUUCUCAUACCAUUUCCAGAUUAACCUUCCCCAAAUGCAAAUCAUAAAGUGUUACUUUGUCACUUAAAAAAGGUUAGUGGUUUCUUGUGUCCUACAGGACAAGAUCUAAACUUAUAUUGAUUAUUGAGGUCUUAGUGAUCUUUGCCUUGUUUCUGGCUUCGAAUCCUCUUGUAACCUAUGCCCCAGCCACAUUGACAGUUUAUGGGUUCCUAAACAUCCACAUUGUUGAACACUCUACACUCUUCCCAGAGGUAGGACUCAGUUGAUAGAUUGAAUGGAUGGAUGAAGUAAACCUUAUGACCAUAUCUACCUGUUCAAAUCCCACUCCCUUUUCAGUAUUGAAUGGAAAUGGCCUUAAAAAGUACCCAGAUUAAGGGGGCACCAGGGUGGCUUAGUUGUUUAAGCAUCCGACUUUGGCUCAGGUCAUGAGCUCACUGUUUGUGGGUUCGAGUCCUUUGUCGGGCUCUGUGCUGACAGCUCAGAGCCUGGAGCCUGCUUCGGAUUCUGUGUCUCCCUCUCUCUCUGUCCCUCUCCUGCUCACACUCUGUCUCUCUCUCAAAAAUAAACAUUGAAAAAAAUUUUUUUGAAGUACCCAGAUUAAGAUUUGAUAGGUGUACUAGGUUUUUAUUUACUAUUCAUAUGAUUGAGGGGGCAACAAGAAUGUCCUUGUAGCCCCUCCACCUACCCAAAGAUUUUAUGGAUAGUCUGAAAUUUCACCAUGAAGACUCAUUUGUUAAGGUUCUGAUAUUCCAUUUAUAUUUCUUUCCCUCUUAUAACUUUAUAGUUACAAAGUACUUCCAUGAACAAAUGUUAUCUUAUUUAAUUUUGAAAACAAUCUUAUGAAGAUUUUUAUCAUAUAUGCUUUAGAGAUAAAGAAAUACAACUUCAAGGCAAUUUACCAAUCUAAGGUCAUUCCAUUGACAUGGUGGAGCUAGGGCUUGAGCCUAGGUUCAUUGAUUCCAGCAUCCUCUUUUCCUCAGGCUCUUACCUUAGAAGGAGACACAAAUGUAUUAGCAGUUAAAUACCUUAGUGUAUAUUAGUCACACAGAUCACUUGCUCCAUGCCACUCACCAAGAGGAGAAUUCUGAGGAAAUGAGAGUUGUAAAUUCUAUAUUGGAAAAGAGAAACCGAUUACAGAGAGAAGAUGGAGCAUAGUUUUGGAGGCUGGGGCAAGCCUAGGGAAGUUAGACUUUGGUGAGAUGUGACAAUGGGCCUAGGAUGGACACUAUCUUAAUAUAAAUGUACAAAAUUCAUAUUUCUUCAUUCACCACUUCUUCGUGAAAACUACAUUUUGUUCUUCAAAUUUUUAUUUGAAUUCUAGUUGGUUAACAUGUAGUGUAAUAUUGGUUUCAGGAUAGAAUUUAGUGAUUUGUCACAUAUAAAACCUUGUGCUCAACACAAGUGCCUUCCUUAAUACCCAUCACCCAUUUAGCCCACCUCCCUCCAUUAACCCUCAGUUUGUUCUCUAUGGUUAAGAGUCUCUUAUGUUUUCCUUCCCUCUCUUUUUUUCCCCCUUCCCCUGUAUUCAUCUGGCAAAAACUACAUUUUAACUUAACCUUAAUAAAAGGUGUGUAGAAAGUUUCUAUCAUCAUUAUAUUGAUAAUCAUCUAGAUCUUAUCAAAGUACAAGAUGCUGAAUAUUAGAAUCAUAUACUUGAUAUCCCCAUAAGAGUUCUUUAAAAAUCUUUAAUAUAAUCGUUUCAUUGGGAAACACAAGCUAUUUUUAUGAUACAGGUAACACUGGUGGGGUUAAGAUCUGUUCUUUGUCUUUCAUGUGGGAGGCUUUCUUUAAAAGUCUGCUGAUCUUUGGCAAUCCAUUCAUAUUGGAGAACAAGAGGUGCAAGCACAUGCGCACACACACACACACACACACACACACACAAACACACUGGUAAUUCUAGGUAUAUGGGCAGUUAUGUUGAUUGGUGUCUCCAUUAGAGGGUUGUGGGCACGGAUCCCAGUAUUUUGUAGGUGGAGCUCCACAUACCCUCAUCUGUAUAUCUUUUCUUUAUAGCUCAUCUCUAUGUGUAGAGAGGAACCUUCCAAUUUUCUUUUUGGGGGUGAAACAGAUGGUCAUCAGAGUUUAGGGGGCUGAGGGAAGGAAAGAGGCAAUAGAUGGGGAUCUUGCUCUCCCCAUACAUAGACUUUUAUUAACCUCCCAGUUUGGUUCAGUUUGGUUCAGUACAUUCCCACCUCCGCUUUUUUUCUUUGAGUCCAGAAUCUGUUUAGGUACACUUCUCCAGAGAAUAAACCCUCUGAAGCAUGUGCAGGACACACAACCAAACUAAGAGUGUGGGUAAGAUUCAAACAGUGGGGAGGGUGAGGAAACCUUUCUGUGCAAGAAUAAUACAACCAAAGACAUGAAGUUGGAGGCAAACCAGAGUGAAUGGGAAAUAACCAAUAAUUCACCUUACCUAGAGUGAAGCACACAUGAAGAACUGAGUUAGGAGCAAAAUAAAGGUGGUAACAGAGACUGCAGCUUCAAAGAGAAUACUAAGAAGCCUAGACUUUUUUCUGGAGGUGCCAAGGAGCCAGCUUCCUCAUACUAGUUCAUUAAAUUAUGAAGACAGCUUCUGAGUGCAUGGUAGAUGACUAGCAGGGGGUCACGCAUGAAUUGAGUUGGGAUGCUUCUCUGUGAUUUUGACACAAUUGACUGUGUUUCUGUUGGGGUCUCCACACCCAAAGUAUUUCAUAUGCAUAAUGCUGGAGCUUACAGAUCCUCAGAGGGUUAUCAUGCUUGGGAGGCUUGAUGUUCUUUUUUGUGAUCUGCACCUUUCUGAUAGUGAAACCGUCUUGUUCUAAUGUGAGAGCUCACAGACGUCUCCCGUCUUCUAGAUGUUAUCAGUUACAGCACUCCUGCAGGUGGGCCGCAUGGCCAUGGAGCCAGAGACCCUCAGAUGAGAAGAGGCUUGAAAGGACCUUAAAACUUUGUAAAUGCAGUUUUACUAAAUGUCAUAGAAAUGGACUCCUAGGAUUUUUAUGCCAUUUAAUCGGGAGCAAAACGAGAGAUGAAAUGUUUGUUGCCUAGUACCUUGCUCCGUUCUGCAAAGGCCUUUUAUGCUUUUGAUGAUGAUGGUAGUGAUAAUUUAGAAACAUGUUUUGCCCACGUAUGUGUACUAUAGUAAGACGGUUUUCUUUCUGAGCAGCCUAGGAAGAACGUUCUUUUUUAUAGGCCUCAGAUACAAGUUCUCUCCCUCAGACUGUUUGCCCAAGCCUUAAAAAUACGGCAUGAUUACACAAGCACUCUGGAAUUUAGAUUAAGCAGCAUUCAAUUCGAAAAUCUAAUCACAUCAUCUAAAUAUCAUUAAGUUCUAAUAGGCUGAUUGAUAGGGACCAAAGCUGUUUUUGCCUGGUGCUGCAUGCCUUUCCCUCAGCCAGCCUUUUCAAACUAAGAUGUUGAUAAAGGCAUCUAUAAAUCUUAAUAGUUGGAGACAGUUUAAAAGCAUAGUUCACUAGGUAAGGUCACACCCACUUAAGUGACCUAUUUUGUAUACUUUUCAAAAAUAGGUUAAUUAACUUAAUAGAAAUAAUAGGACUCUCGUAUUGAUGUGCAAUUACUACUAAAACAAGUUUUUUUUUUUUUUCUUUCCAAGUGAACACGAUGUUCAUGAAAUUGAGGGCAUAAUAGCCAUGACAAGAACCAGGCUUAGCAAGGCAGGUCAUGUGCAGUGAGUACAUUUCAGACUUGCCCUUUAAAACCUGCUUUUAUUCCAGUGCUGGGAUGUGGGGAUACCUCCACUAAAGCAUUUCACUCCCAGCACUCUCUCAGUUUGCACUGCGUGGGGGUGGAUUAUUCUAGCUGUUGUUGUUUUCCCAAUCACUAAAACAGCAGUCUAUGUAGGCCCUGUUCCCUAAAGACUUCAGCAUGCAUAGGAACCUCAAUGAAUCUCAGUCUCUCUUCUUUUUAAACUGAGGCUGUUUUCUCCAUUUUUCUAACAAAUGAUUCAUCUGGUAUCCCGGGAGAAGCAUGGUUUCAAAGGAGACUGCAGUGUAGGAGGGCAAGGGAGUGCCCAGGCAAGAGUCCUAUUUGGGACAAGUUACAUUAUCCUAAAGCAGCCUCGUUUUAUUUAUUUUUUGUUGUUGUGUAGUGCCUGAUUCAAAUUUUCUGCUCCCAAAGCAAAGCAUUUUAUCCUAGUCUUAGACCUCUUGCUGAUGGUUAUAACCUUUUAAUUCUAUUAUUGAUCGCUAACUUUGCAUAAUUUGAUUUUUCCAUUCAUCUGUUCCUUACAAUAUACCUCACUGAUGUUUUAUAUCAUAAGUUGAGCAUAUGAGUAUUAUAUUAUUCUUCAGAACUUUUAUUUAUUUAA